Molecule: small RNA, 580 nt
Filed under: Pan troglodytes (chimpanzee)
Lineage: Eukaryota; Metazoa; Chordata; Mammalia; Primates; Hominidae
Description: processed transcript
Source: RNAcentral
GCAGAAUUAUCCACGAGUUGUGCAGGCAGAGCCCCCGGAGCAAUGGCCAGUCCUUCCGGCAGCUCCGAAGACACUGGCAAGCCCCGAGGCAGGGAUGGCCGGCCCAGGAGGGAGGAGGACGACGUCCCUUCCGAGGGGAAGAGGCUGCGGCUGUUGCUGGAGGGGGGGAAGCGCACAGCCCGAGGACUGCGAGGACGGGGAGGACGCGCCGCGGCCGGGCAGGGAGGAGACCGGCACCCAGACAGGUGGCGACGGCAGAGGAGCGCAGUGGUUCACACCUGUAAUCCCAGCACUUUGGGAGGCCGAGGCUGGCAGAUCACCUAAGGUCAGGAGUUCGAGACCAGCCUGGCCAACAUGGCGAAACUGUAUCUACCAAAAAAAAAAAAACAGAAAUUAGCCAGGUGUUAUUGCACACACCUGUAAUCCCAGCUACUUGGGAGGCUGAGGCAGGAGAAUCGUUUGAACCUGGGAGACAGAGGUUGCAGUCAGCCGAGAUUGCACCACUGCACUUCAGCCAGCCUGGGUGACAGAGCGAGACUCUGUUUCAAAAAUAAAUAAAUAAAUAAAAUAGAAUUCUGAA